Molecule: long non-coding RNA, 1233 nt
Filed under: Homo sapiens (human)
Lineage: Eukaryota; Metazoa; Chordata; Mammalia; Primates; Hominidae
Description: long intergenic non-protein coding RNA 905
Source: RNAcentral
GGGGGGCGAGUGUGAAGCUGGGCGCCUGGAGCCUAAGGCCAGCUGUCCCUCCCUGUGUCCUGGAGGAGGGGCCCUGUCCCAAAAAGACCCUCAGGGGCCUGGCCUAAAUUAUCCUUGAACCAGAAAAAAAAAUCCCCAAUUCAACACUCCAUUUUUGUGAAGAGCUGGUUCCGAAUUCUGGGUCACUUUUUGGAAAAAAUAUCUGUUGUGGUAAACAGUGCUGCAUCUGUGAUCUCAAGUCUCUACUGGAAUUGGAUAGAGAUGGUGAAUUUCAGCCAGAGCGCCCAAAGAACUCGUGUCCCGCGCUCCUGAACGCCAUCAGCCGCCGCACCUCCAUCUUCCCUCCUCCCACGAGUCUCCUGCUCCCCGUGACUCUGGCCUCCUCGCAGUGUUGCUGGGCCACGUCAGGAAGUGCUGGAGGACGUGGCAUUGCACCAACACCAGGCGGCCAGCCGUGUGGCUCAUCCCGCAAAUCAGGCUCUUCCUGUGCAUGGAGAUGGAGUCCCUCUGGAGGCAGCCCGUGGCCCUGUUCUCGGGCAGGUGGAGCAUGGAGACGACUGGGAACUUCACUAGACACGCAUCCAGCCGGUUCAAGGGCUUGUCGCGCCGUGCACCAGCUUGCAGGAGAAAGCCCAACGCCUCGCCAAGCACGAAGGCCUCCCUUCCCGACUUGAUGAAGGCAGAGUAGCGGUUGAGGUUGCGGCUCACAGUGACCGAGCUCCUGCCCACGUGGGGACCCAGGGAGCCGUCGAGCUCCAGCCCAGGCUUGGACCUGAAGAAGCUGGCAACCCGCGAACGCCAACAGGCACAGUCGAAAAAAGCAAAAGAAAAAUCCCAAACAAAAUCCUGUUCUCCCUAGCCAAAGGACCAGGAGAGGGGGCAGCCCAGCAAGACAAAACACAUUUACACAAUUCUGGCUAACCUCAGCCAGUCCUUGGCCGUGAGUUCGUUUUUCUGCCACCUCACUUUGGGGCUGGGCUGGUUCUCCACCCUCGCAGGGUGCGUUUCUCAAUCCAGACGCUGGGGGGCGCUAGUACCUCGCGAGCUCCGCGAGGAUCAUUCCCGGGACGCCGCGGAGUCACCUCCCCUCCUAGGGACCCAGAGCUUCCCAGGGCCGCGCCUGUAGGUUUUCCAGAGGUCCCCGAAAACGUUAAAGACCUGGAAGGAAAAAAAAACUGUAAAACCACACACUUUGAUAUUUGACAACGUAAAAGCAAGGCUGCAAAAUCAAAA